This 244-nucleotide ribosomal RNA is filed under the name uncultured bacterium. RNAcentral's name for it is "partial 16S ribosomal RNA". It matches the Rfam family "Bacterial small subunit ribosomal RNA", at positions 15 to 260 of the family's 1533-position model. The record is from RNAcentral.
GAUCCUGGCUCAGAUUGAACGCUGGCGGCAGGCCUAACACAUGCAAGUCGAGCGGUAGAGAGAAGCUUGCUUCUCUUGAGAGCGGCGGACGGGUGAGUAAUGCCUAGGAAUCUGCCUGGUAGUGGGGGAUAACGUCCGGAAACGGACGCUAAUACCGCAUACGUCCUACGGGAGAAAGCAGGGGGACCUUCGGGCCUUGCGCUAUCAGAUGAGCCUAGGUCGGAUUAGCUAGUUGGUGGGGUAA